RNAcentral lists this ribosomal RNA (253 nucleotides) under uncultured bacterium. Its description in RNAcentral is "partial 16S ribosomal RNA". It matches the Rfam family "Bacterial small subunit ribosomal RNA", at positions 524 to 776 of the family's 1533-position model. The record is from RNAcentral.
GACGAAGGUGGCAAGCGUUACUCGGAAUUACUAGGCGUAAAGCGCGAGCAGGCGGUUCGGCAAGUCUGUUGUGAAAGCCCCGGGCUCAACCCGGGGAGGUCAAUGGAAACUGCCGGACUUGAAUACGGGAGAGGUCACUGGAAUUCCUGGUGUAGCGGUGAAAUGCGUAGAUAUCAGGAGGAACACCGAAGGCGAAAGCAGGUGACUGGACCGUUAUUGACGCUGAGACGCGAAAGCGUGGGGAGCAAACAGG